RNAcentral lists this ribosomal RNA (266 nucleotides) under uncultured bacterium. Its description in RNAcentral is "partial 16S ribosomal RNA". It matches the Rfam family "Bacterial small subunit ribosomal RNA", at positions 524 to 787 of the family's 1533-position model. The record is from RNAcentral.
UACGAAGGGGGCUAGCGUUGCUCGGAAUUACUGGGCGUAAAGCGCACGUAGGCGGAUUGUUAAGUCGGGGGUGAAAUCCUGGAGCUCAACUCCAGAACUGCCUUCGAUACUGGCGAUCUCGAGUUCGGGAGAGGUGAGUGGAACUGCGAGUGUAGAGGUGAAAUUCGUAGAUAUUCGCAAGAACACCAGUGGCGAAGGCGGCUCACUGGCCGAUACCUGACGCUGAGGUGCGAAAGCGUGGGGAGCAAACAGGGAUUAAGAAACCC